AGCGAGAGAGAGCUUGCUUUCUCGAGCGAGUGGCGAACGGGUGAGUAACGCGUGAGGAACCUACCUCAAAGAGGGGGACAACAGUUGGAAACGACUGCUAAUACCGCAUAAGCCCACGACCCGGCAUCGACCAGAGGGAAAAGGAGUGAUCCGCUUUGAGAUGGCCUCGCGUCCGAUUAGCUGGUUGGUGAGGUAACGGCCCACCAAGGCGACGAUCGGUAGCCGGACUGAGAGGUUGAACGGCCACAUUGGGACUGAGACACGGCCCAGACUCC
RNAcentral lists this ribosomal RNA (275 nucleotides) under uncultured Faecalibacterium sp. Its description in RNAcentral is "partial 16S ribosomal RNA". It matches the Rfam family "Bacterial small subunit ribosomal RNA", at positions 65 to 339 of the family's 1533-position model. Lineage: Bacteria; Bacillati; Bacillota; Clostridia; Eubacteriales; Oscillospiraceae. The record is from RNAcentral.